GGAAUAUUGCGCAAUGGGCGAAAGCCUGACGCAGCGACGCCGCGUGGAGGAUGAAGGUCUUAGGAUUGUAAACUCCUGUCAGAUGGAAAGAAAAGUUCAUGCCUAAUAAGUGUGAAAUAUGACGGUACCAUCAGAGGAAGCACCGGCUAACUUCGUGCCAGCAGCCGCGGUAAUACGAAGGGUGCAAACGUUAUUCGGAAUCCCUGGGCGUAAAGGGUGCGUAGACGGUAUGUUAAGUUCGUUGUUAAAGGCUCCGGCCUAACCGGAGUAUUGCGAUGAAAACUGGCAAGCUAGAUGGUGAGAGAGAGAAGUGGAAUUCCCGGAGUAGCGGUAAAAUGCGUGGAUCUCGGGAGGAACACCAAUGGCGAAGGCAGCUUCUUGGCUCAUACCUGACGUUGAGGCACGAAAGCGUGGGGAGCAAAC
Molecule: ribosomal RNA, 423 nt
Filed under: uncultured bacterium
Lineage: Bacteria
Description: bacterial SSU rRNA
Rfam family: Bacterial small subunit ribosomal RNA
Source: RNAcentral